RNAcentral lists this ribosomal RNA (490 nucleotides) under uncultured bacterium. RNAcentral describes it as "partial 16S ribosomal RNA". It matches the Rfam family "Bacterial small subunit ribosomal RNA", at positions 30 to 507 of the family's 1533-position model. The record is from RNAcentral.
AUUGAACGCUGGCGGCAGGCCUAACACAUGCAAGUCGAACGGUAACAGGAAGCAGCUUGCUGCUUCGCUGACGAGUGGCGGACGGGUGAGAAAUGUCUGGGAAGCUGCCUGAUGGAGGGGGAUAACUACUGGAAACGGUAGCUAAUACCGCAUAAUGUCGCAAGACCAAAGAGGGGGACCUUCGGGCCUCUUGCCAUCGGAUUUGCCCAGAUGGGAUUAGCUUGUUGGUGGGGUAACGGCUCACCAAGGCGACGAUCCGUAGCUGGUCUGAGAGGAUGACCAGCCACACUGGAACUGAGACACGGUCCAGACUCCUACGGGAGGCAGCAGUGGGGAAUAUUGCACAAUGGGCGCAAGCCUGAUGCAGCCAUGGCGCGUGUAUGAAGAAGGCCUUCGGGUUGUAAAGUACUUUCAGCGGGGAGGAAGGGAGUAAAGUUAAUACCUUCGCUCAUUGACGUUACCUGCAGAAGAAGCACCGGCUAACUCCGUG